AUCUUUAACUCUUAUAAUUAGUGAAAUGCAUUGGAUUGUGACACAUUUUGACCAUCAAAACACUAACACAACUGUUUACUGCUUCUAAGCAAUUUUUUGUUGGUUUUAUCCUCUUUUAGGAGAAAAUGGGUAUAAGUGUUGUCUAAACCCUCCUAAUCCAUCUCUAACUCUUAUAAUUAGUCCAAUGAAUUGGAUUGUGACACAUUUUGACUAUAGAAACACAAACAAAGCAAGUUACUGAUUCUAAGCAAUUUUUUGUUGGUUUUAUCCUCUUUUGAGAGAAACUUGAUAUAAGUGUUGUCUAAACGCUCCUAUUCUAUCUUUAACUCUUAUAAUUAGUCAAAUGCAUUGGAUUGUAACACAUUUUGACCAUAAAAACACUAACAAAACUGUUUAUUGCUUCUAAGCAAUAUUUUGUUCGUUUUAGCCACUUUUAGGAGAAAAUUGGUAUAAGUGUUGUCUAAACACCCCUAAUCCAUCUCUAACUCAUAUAAUUAGUCAAAUGCAUUGGAUUGUGAUACAUAUUGACCAUUGAAACACUAACAAAGCUAUUUAGUGUUUGUAAGCAAUAUUUUGUUGGUUGUAGCUUCUUUUGGGAGAAAAUGGGUAUAAGUGUUGUCUAAACACUCCUACUCCAUCUCUAACUCUUAUAAUUAGUCAAAUGCAUUGGAUUGUGACACAUUUUGACCAUAGAAACACUAACAAAUCUAUUAACUGCUUCUAAACAAAUUUUUUAUUGGUUUUAGCCUCUUUUAAUAGAAAAUUGAUAUAAGUGUUGUCUAACCACACCUAAUCUAUCUCUAACUCUUAUAACUAGUCAAAAUGCAUUGGAUUGUGACACAUUUUGACCACAAACACACUAACACAACUGUUUACUGUUUCUAAGCAAUAUUUUGUUGGUUUUAGCCUCUUUUUGGAGAAAAUGGGUAUAAGUGUUGUCUAAACACUCCUAAUCCAUCUCUAACUCUUACAAUUAGUCAGAGGCUUUGGAUUGUGACACAUUUUGACUGUAGAAACACUAACAAAACUGUUUACUACUUCUAAGCAAUGUUUUGGUUGUUUUAGCCUCUUUUGAGAGAAAAUGGGUAUAAGUGUUGUCUAAACACUCCUAAUCCAUCUUUAACUCUUUAGUUAGUCAAAUGCAUUGGAUUGUGACACAUUUUGACCAUAAAAACACUAACAAAACUGCUUAUUUCUUCUUAGCAA
RNAcentral lists this small RNA (1206 nucleotides) under Arabidopsis thaliana (thale cress). RNAcentral describes it as "ATSL035260". Lineage: Eukaryota; Viridiplantae; Streptophyta; Magnoliopsida; Brassicales; Brassicaceae. The record is from RNAcentral.